UGCGGCGUGCCUAAUACAUGCAAGUAGAACGCUGAAGCUUGCUUCUUGCACCGAGCGGAUGAGUUGCGAACGGGUGAGUAACGCGUAGGUAACCUGCCUCUUAGCGGGGGAUAACUAUUCUAAACGAUAGCUAAUACCGCAUAAAAGACGAUAUCGCAUGAUAUUGAUUUGAAAGAUGCAAUUGCAUCACUAAGAGAUGGACCUGCGUUGUAUUAGCUAGUUGGUGAGGUAACGGCUCACCAAGGCGACGAUACAUAGCCGACCUGAGAGGGUGAUCGGCCACACUGGGACUGAGACACGGCCCAGACUCCUACGGGAGGCAGCAGUAGGGAAUCUUCGGCAAUGGGGGCAACCCUGACCGAGCAACGCCGCGUGAGUGAAGAAGGUUUUCGGAUCGUAAAGCUCUGUUGUAAGAGAAGAACGAGUGUGAGAGUGGAAAGUUCACACUGUGACGGUAACUUACCAGAAAGGGACGGCUAACUACGUGCCAGCAGCCGCGGUAAUACGUAGGUCCCGAGCGUUAUCCGGAUUUAUUGGGCGUAAAGCGAGCGCAGGCGGUUAGAUAAGUCUGAAGUUAAAGGCUGUGGCUUAACCAUAGUACGCUUUGGAAACUGUUUAACUUGAGUGCAGGAGGGGAGAGUGGAAUUCCAUGUGUAGCGGUGAAAUGCGUAGAUAUAUGGAGGAACACCGGUGGCGAAAGCGGCUCUCUGGUCUGUAACUGACGCUGAAGCUCGAAAGC
Molecule: ribosomal RNA, 739 nt
Filed under: uncultured organism
Description: SSU rRNA
Rfam family: Bacterial small subunit ribosomal RNA
Source: RNAcentral